GUUUAUAAAAUUCAUAUUGGAGUUCAGAUGAACAACAAAAAGAUUCAGACGUAAAUGUGUGAGGUAUAUGUAGCAGUGGUCACACUGGGAGAAUUAACCCCAGUUGCUCCAACUGCUCACUGACGAAACGGUACUAGCUUACCCCACGAGAUUCGUCUCAAAAUUACUUGAAACAUGACCCGAGCUCCCAGCUUUCCGGUUAUCGCAGUGUUAGUUAUUUUUUUAUAAAGGUGGGGAACAAUACCACCUGUUACUAUAAUGAUCCUUCCGCAGGUUCACCUACGGAAA
This 288-nucleotide unclassified non-coding RNA is filed under the name uncultured fungus. RNAcentral's name for it is "sequence contains ITS1". The record is from RNAcentral. Lineage: Eukaryota; Fungi.